This 342-nucleotide unclassified non-coding RNA is filed under the name Hevea brasiliensis (rubber tree). The record is from RNAcentral. Lineage: Eukaryota; Viridiplantae; Streptophyta; Magnoliopsida; Malpighiales; Euphorbiaceae.
GGGCACUGAGAUGGAGCAGGAUUUUGUUGCUGACACUUUUAGUGUUCGUGAGGAUUUUAAGAAGAAAAAAGCUGAAAAAGGUGAUGGGGGUCAACCAGAUUAUGCAGUAGGGAAAAUAGGAGUUGAAUAUGAAGUGAAAGUCCUUUCCUCAAUGAUACAAAGGGUGAUUUAGCCUCAGUUAGAAAUCGAAGAUAAAAAAUAGCAAUAUUGGAGAUUCAAGCUGCACAACCCACAGUUUGCAAAUCUGAAAUUUCUUGGAGCCAUGGGGAUGGAUUGAGCUCACUAAUUCAAAAGGACCAUGAUUGUGAGUUCUAUUCUUGUGAGUUCCUAAUUUCCAUAGAG